UAUUGCACAGGUAUACUAUUGCCCGAUUUAUUGCGGAUAGAUGGCGGCGAAAAAAAAACGGGUAUAAAUGAAAUUAACGUACGAAAAAAAAAAACCCCGAAAAAGUCAUAGUCAUAGUUCGAUCGGUCAAGUCGGCACGGCUGCACAAUGCCCACGAUAAAAUUACCUAUGAAAAACGGCUAUAUAUAUAAAUAUACAUAUUAUGCGGAACAAGUAAAAUCGUCAAAUCUCGCGGUUUAUUUAUUUCUAUAUUUCGUUUUUCUGUAUAUCUCCCUCUGAUCUGUUUCACUUUCGUUUAUUUAAAAAAAAAACUUACCUUCUAUAGAUUUAAUAUUAUAUUAUUUUAAUUCGGCAGAACGAUGAGGCGAGGAAUUUAUUGGUUUUAUACUAUGAUGAUGUGUGUGUAAUUUUGUUUGCGUGAAAACAACUUUUCUACCAAAAACUCAUUAUUGCUAUCAUCAACUUUAGAUGUGAUGUCUGAUAGCGGGCAUUGUCUAAUCAAUGCAUUGGCCGUUGGGAUGG
Molecule: non-coding RNA, 522 nt
Organism: Cinara cedri
Lineage: Eukaryota; Metazoa; Arthropoda; Insecta; Hemiptera; Aphididae
Source: the annotation of a GenBank genome assembly